AGCAGUAGCCGCGGUAAUACAGAGGGUGCGAGCGUUAAUCGGAUUUACUGGGCGUAAAGCGUGCGUAGGCGGCUUUUUAAGUCGGAUGUGAAAUCCCUGAGCUUAACUUAGGAAUUGCAUUCGAUACUGGGAAGCUAGAGUAUGGGAGAGGAUGGUAGAAUUCCAGGUGUAGCGGUGAAAUCCGUAGAGAUCUGGAGGAAUACCGAUGGCGAAGGCAGCCAUCUGGCCUAAUACUGACGCUGAGGUACGAAAGCAUGGGGAGCAAACAGGAUUAGAUACCCCAGUAGUCCCUGUCUCUUAUAC
Molecule: ribosomal RNA, 303 nt
Filed under: uncultured bacterium
Lineage: Bacteria
Description: partial 16S ribosomal RNA
Rfam family: Bacterial small subunit ribosomal RNA
Source: RNAcentral